RNAcentral lists this ribosomal RNA (3009 nucleotides) under Parcubacteria group bacterium GW2011_GWB1_43_8b. Its description in RNAcentral is "bacterial LSU rRNA". It matches the Rfam family "Bacterial large subunit ribosomal RNA", at positions 22 to 2620 of the family's 2925-position model. The record is from RNAcentral.
UGGUGGAUGCCUUGACACUAAAUGGCGACGAAGGACGCGGCGUAACUGCGAUAAGCCUCGGGGAGGUGUGUAGCAACCUUUAAUCCGGGGAUUUCCGAAUGGGGCAACCCAAUUGUGUAAACCACAAUUACCCCGCCUAGAAAGCGUGGGCGCGAACCCGCUGAAGUGAAACAUCUCAUUAAGCGGAGGAAAACAAAAAAACAUCCCGUUUUUGACGGGAUCUAUUCCCCCAGUAGCGGCGAGCGAAAAGGGAGAUAGUCUAAACCCUGUUUUGUCUAUGACAAGACGGGGUGUUGGAAGGUAUAUACUCUGGCGCUCUCGCGGACUAGUGCCAAAUUUUGGCGCCAGUCCGCUUGUAGCGAUAAGGGGAAGUUACAAAUUCUUUUGUUAGCCGAAGUCCCUGGGAAGGGAUACCAAAGAAGGUGAAAGUCCUGUAGGCGAAAACAAAAGAACUUCCUAGUAUGUGUCCUUAAAUACCCCGACGAACGAAAGCUUCGGGGGAAGCAUCCUGAACUAUCAGGAAAGACUAAAUACAUUUAGUGAUCGAUAGCGAACUAGUACCGUGAGGGAAAGGUGAAAAGCAGGCCGGCGAGGCCGAUGAAAUAAAACCUGAAACCAUAUGUCUACAAGGAACGGAAGUCCCAUGAGGACAACCGUGUGCCUAUUGAAGAAUGAACCAACGAGUUUAUGUGCAUCGCUUGUCUAAGCUCUACGGAGUGUAGGCGAAGCGAAAGCGAGUCUUAAAAGGGCGUAUGCCUUGUGUGUAACACAAGUGACUGACGACCAACGACCCAUGACUUACGACAUUUAAUUUUUGUCGUUAGUUGUUAGUUGUAAGUUGUGAGUUACUCGCGUUAUACGCGAGGCCGCGGUGUGCAUAAGACCCGAAGCCAGAUGAGCUUACCUUGGGCAGGGUGAACCUCGCCGAAAGGCGGGAGGAGGCCCGAACCGGUUGGUUGUGCAAAACCUUCGGAUGACCCGAGGUAGGGAGUGAAAAGCUAAUCGAAUCUGGUAAUAGCUGGUUCUCUCCGAAAUAGCUUUCGGGCUAGCGUCCAGGAAAAAUAUUGGAGGGGUAGAGCCACUGGUUGAGAAGUAAAGGGCGAAAGCUCGGCUUCUCAGUCAAACUCCGAAUACUUCAAUAAAUCGCCUGGGCAGUUAGACUAUGGGGGCUAAGCUCCAUAGUCGCAAGGGAAAAAGCCCAGACCGCCGUCUAAGGUCCCUAAAUAUAUGCUAAGUGUCAAAGGUAGUGGCCUGCCAGAGACAGGUAGGAGGUUGGCUUAGAGGUAGCCAUCCUUUAAAGAGUGUGUAACAACUCACUACUAGAUGGCAGACUGCGCCGAAAAUUUACCGGGGCUAAGCAUAUUACCGAAGACGCGGGUUAUCUUGUCUGCGACAAGAUCACAGACAGUUUUGGACAAGACACGGACAGUGCGGAACUUUUUCCAAUCUGUCAGUGUUAUGUCAGCUCUGUCAGUGUUCUCGCCGCAGGCGAGAUAGCGGUAGGAGAGCAUUCCUAGCAGCGAUGAAGCCUCAGCCGCGAGGCGGGGUGGAGCGCUAGGAAGAGAAAAUGUUGGUAUGAGUAACCACAAGUCCGAUGUGAAUUUGGACCCCCGAAAAUCCAAGGUUUCCUUCGCAAUGGAAAUCAGCGAAGGGUUAGGCGGGACCUAAGGCAAUGGCGAAAGCCGCAGCUGAUGGACAGCCGGUUAAUAUUCCGGCCCCUCAGUUCUUUUCGAUGGAGUGACGAAGUUGAGUAGAGAGAGCAUCUUAAUGGUUUGGUGUUUUUGAUCGAGGACGUGUUCUCGGUAAAUCCGGAACGCUGCCUUCAAUGGCGAUUCCCAGAGUAAAAACAACUCGGCGAUUAUCAAAGAGCAGUCUCUCAAGCCGACUUCCAAGAAAAACUUCUAAGGUUAAAAGAAUUGAGCCUGUACCGUAAACCGACACUGGUGGGUGAGGCGAGAAGCCUAAGGGGAACGAGUGAGUCAUCCUCAAGGAACUCGGCAAAAAAGCGGCCGUAACUUCGGGAUAAGGCCUCCCUGAACUUCCGCAAGGAAGUGAAGGGUGCAACAAAAGUAUCUCUGGCGACUGUUUACUAAAAACACAGCUCCCUGCGAACUCGUAAGAGGAUGUAUAGGGGGUGACGCCUGACCGAUGCGAGAAGGUUAAUGCCGCCGGUCGUGGAGCGACUCGGCGCGCAGAUUAUCGCGGAUUAUAACGCAGAUAAACGCAGAUAUAAUUCAUCAGCGUAAAUCAGCGUAUUUGUCAGCGUAAAUCAGCGUGCGAAGCCGCUUCACGGCUGAGUGGUUGAAGCCCUCGUCAAUGUCAGCAAUAACUAUAAUUGUUCUAAGGUAGCGCAAUUCCUUUCCGGGUAAGUUCCGGAGCGCACGAAUGGCGUAACGACUGGAGAACUGUCUCGAGGAUGAGCUCGGUGAAAAUGCGAUUCCCGUGAAGACGCGGGGUACCUGCAGCGGGACGAAAAGACCCCAGGAGCUUUACUGUAGCUUGAUAUUGGCUUUAGGGUUUGGAUGCGUAGCGUAGUGGGCAGGCUUCGAAGCUUUGCUUUCGGGCAGAGUGGAGCCGACAAUGAAACACCCAUCUUUCAGAUUUUAAAGUCUAACCUUGACGGCAAAAACGGCAGGGAACAGUGUCUGGCGGGCAGUUUUAAUGGGGCGUUAUCCUCCUAAAAAGUAACGGAGGAGUUUAUUAAGGUCGGCUAAGGUCGGAUGGAAAUCGACCGCGUCGUGUAAAGGCACAAGCCGGCUUGACUGCAAGGCCGACAAGCCGCGCAGCUGCGAAAGCAGAACUUAGUGACCCGACGGUCCUUUAUAGAAAGGCCGGAGACAACGGAUAAAAGCUACCCCGGGGAUAACAGGCUGGUGAGGCUCGAGAGUUCCUAUCGACGGCCUCGCUCGGCACCUCGAUGUCGGCUCACCACAGCGCGGGGCUGGAGAAGGUCCCAAGCGUUUGGCUGUUCGCCAAUUAAAGUGGUACGUGAGCUGGGUUCAGACCGUC